Prunus mume (Japanese apricot) is the source of this 259-nucleotide non-coding RNA. NCBI's taxonomy places the organism in Eukaryota, Viridiplantae, Streptophyta, Magnoliopsida, Rosales, Rosaceae. The record is from RefSeq and is a predicted model, not a curated record.
UGGCUUAGCUAAGGUGGUUUUGAAGAUAGAGGGCGCUCUUGACCAAAGAACAAAGCAGAAAGUCAUGAAAAAUGUCAGCCGGUUUAAUGGGAUUGAGUCGAUCAGUGUGGAUUCUAAGGAACAAAAGCUAGCAGUGGUAGGAAGAGAGAUGGAUGUAAUUGGAAUGUUGCGUUCGGUUAGGAAGAUAGUUGCGGCGGACAUAGUAUCAGUUGGCCCAGCCAAGGAAGGCAAGGCAGUUGGCCCAGCCAAGAAAGGCAAG